GACGAACGCUGGCGGCGUGCUUAACACAUGCAAGUCGAACGGAAAGGCCCUGCUUUUGUGGGGUGCUCGAGUGGCGAAGGGGUGAGUAACACGUGAGUAACCUGCCCUUGACUUUGGGAUAACUUCAGGAAACUGGGGCUAAUACCGGAUAGGAGCUCCUGCUGCAUGGUGGGGGUUGGAAAGUUUCGGCGGUUGGGGCUGGACUCGCGGCUUAUCAGCUUGUUGGUGGGGUAGUGGCUUACCAAGGCUUUGACGGGUAGCCGGCCUGGGAGGGUGACCGGCCACAUUGGGACUGAGAUACGGCCCAGACUCCUACGGGAGACAGCAGUGGGGAAUAUUGCACAAUGGGCGGAAGCCUGUUGCAGAAGCGCCGCGUGCGGGAUGACGUCCUUCUGGUUGUAAACCGCAGUCGCCUGUGACGAAGCGUGAGUGACGGUAAUGGGUAAAGAAGCACCGGCUAACUACGUG
RNAcentral lists this ribosomal RNA (468 nucleotides) under uncultured bacterium. Its description in RNAcentral is "partial 16S ribosomal RNA". It matches the Rfam family "Bacterial small subunit ribosomal RNA", at positions 28 to 507 of the family's 1533-position model. The record is from RNAcentral.